RNAcentral lists this transfer RNA (67 nucleotides) under Schistosoma guineensis. RNAcentral describes it as "tRNA-Arg". Lineage: Eukaryota; Metazoa; Platyhelminthes; Trematoda; Strigeidida; Schistosomatidae. The record is from RNAcentral.
UUCUGAUAAUCUGGAUAGAACUUAUGUUUCGGCCAUAGGGUUGUAAUAUUGUUAUUGCUAUCAGUAA